ACGGGAGCAGACAACAGGGAUGCCUCAGUAACGGCGAGUGAAGCGGCAACAGCUCAAAUUUGAAAUCUGGCCCCCCGGGCCCGAGUUGUAAUUUGUAGAGGAUGCUUCGGGCGUGGUCCGGCCUAAGUCCCUUGGCACAGGGCGUCAUAGAGGGUGAGAACCCCGUAUGUGGCCGGGUGCCUAGGCCCGUGUGAAGCUCCCUCGACGAGUCGAGUUGUUUGGGAUUGCAGCUCAAAAUGGGUGGUAAAUUUCAUCUAAAGCUAAAUACCGGCCAGAGACCGAUAGCGCACAAGUAGAGUGAUCGAAAGAUGAAAAGCACUUUGGAAAGAGAGUUAAACAGUACGUGAAAUUGUUGAAAGGGAAGCGCUUGCGACCAGACUUGGGCGCGGCCGAUCACCCGGCGUUCUCGCCGGUGCACUCGUCCGCGCGCCAGGCCAGCAUCGGUUCCGGCGGCCAGACAAAGGCCGGGCGAACGUGGCUCCCCCCGGGGAGUGUUAUAGCGCCCGGCGCCAUGUGGCCUGCUGGGACCGAGGACCGCGCCUCUGGCUAGGAUGCUGGCGUAAUGGUCGCAAGCGACCCGUCUUGAAACACGGACCAAGGAGUGGAAUAAUCAUGCGAGUGUUUGGGUGCAAAACCCAUGCGCGAAAUGAAAGUGAACGGAGGUGAGAUCCCGUCAGGGCGCAUCAUCGACCGAUCCUGAAGUCUUCGGAUGGAUUUGAGUAAGAGCAUGGCUGUUCCGACCCGAAAGAUGGUGAACUAUGCGUGGAUAGGGUGAAGCCAGAGGAAACUCUGGUGGAGGCUCGCAGCGGUUCUGACGUGCAAAUCGAUCGUCAAAUCUGUGCAUAGGGGCGAAAGACUAAUCGAACCAUCUAGUAGCUGGUUCCUGCCGAGCCCUCCUCUCCCCAGAGA
RNAcentral lists this ribosomal RNA (909 nucleotides) under Leotia viscosa. RNAcentral's name for it is "partial large subunit ribosomal RNA". It matches the Rfam family "Eukaryotic large subunit ribosomal RNA", at positions 52 to 979 of the family's 3401-position model. The record is from RNAcentral. Lineage: Eukaryota; Fungi; Ascomycota; Leotiomycetes; Leotiales; Leotiaceae.